RNAcentral lists this long non-coding RNA (3693 nucleotides) under Oryza sativa (Asian cultivated rice). Its description in RNAcentral is "long non-coding RNA (OSAT_LNC001921)". Lineage: Eukaryota; Viridiplantae; Streptophyta; Magnoliopsida; Poales; Poaceae. The record is from RNAcentral.
UUUGCCUUGUCAGCCUGUAACUCUCGCAAGCGCUUUCGUUUUGCUGAUGCCAUAAGAAAACACACACCAAUAGCCUUUGGUAGCAGGAGCAGAACAAACCUGAAAGAUGUUGUUGAUGGUUUAGAAACUAAGAUUGCAGAUAUGAGGGAAUUUGUCAUUCUCCUUGGUAGCCACCCUCGUCUACCACGUCAGCCUUACAGUACAUAUCUAUACAUAGAGAAUUGUAUGUUUGGCAGCCGUAUUGAGAAGGAGCAAGUCAUCAAUUUCUUGCUUUGCAAUGAUCCUCAUGAUCCGUAUGUUAGCAUUCUUCCUAUUAUUGGCCCACCAAGGAUUGGAAAGAAAACUCUUGUGCAACAUGCUUGCCUGGAUGAGAGGGUGCGCAACUGCUUCUCCCAUAUAUUUUUCUUUAAAGAAGACGAUCUGAAGACCGGAGAGCUCUCGCUUAACUCCAAGGCUUCUCAAGGGAAAUAUUUGUUUGUUAUUGAGUUCAUUUGGGAUGUGGAUGAGGCAGCUUGGACAAAAUUCCAAUCAUAUUUGCAGAAUAUGCCCGGUAUUGGAAUUAAGGUUGUAGUGAUAGGUACAACAGAGGACAUUGCUAAGUUUGGGACAACCCAACCCAUCAGGGUGAAGAGGCCAUCCGAAGAAGAGUUUUGGUACUACUUCAAGGCACUUGCUUUUGGAAGUAUGGAUCCUGAUGAACAUCCGAAACUAGCAUCUCUGGUCAUGCAGCUAGCUACUGAGGUGAAUGGAUCAUUUCUUUCUGCAACUAUAUAUGGUGAACUAUUAAGAGCUAAUCCUAACACUCAAUUCUGGAAGAGAAUCUUAUUAUUCGUAAGAGAGCUUGCACGGAAGCACUUGACUUCCUCUGGUCUACACCCUGACGAUCUUUUCGAAAGAAAUAUCCCUGUCGAUAUGAGCAGGAUAGCCGUUGUGGAUGGUCAAGUUCAAGGUUGCCUGCUUUAUGAUGUUAGGGUCGCUGGCCCUGCAGAUGGUGAGCUACCAAAACUGACAUCACGAGACAUGCUACUGGGUUGUGAUAUUCCUGUCGAAGAUAAGUUUGAUGUGCUGGUCUGGAGAUCUCGCAUUCCACCCUACUGUAACUACAUAGUUACGUAUGAGAAACGAAAACCGCGACGCAUGGUUCGUAAGAGGAACACGAUCUACCUCUGAGAAUACACAGACACAAAUCUUAAUCUGGGGGAAAAUUUUCUAGAAAGAAUACAUUGUCUACGCUUUGACAAUAUAGUUUAGAAGGCUGGGUAUGCCUUCACAGAUUCUAGCUACUACUGAUUAUUCAGACAGUUUAGGUGAAAGGAGCAUAUGUCAUACUAUUGUAGUUUCAUGGAUGUCUUCAUUCUUGGAGAACUGCUAUUGUAUCUGUUCUUACUAGUUUGGGUAUGUAUAAUUCAGUUAGUUACUAUUGCUACCCUGCUAGCGUCAUGUGUGUGACAGAAUAGUUCACAAAAGAAGCUACUUUCUGUUUCUGAAUUCUGACUUUGAUGUCCUGUGUAUGACCAAUUUAAUGUACAACAAUAUAUGUAGUUUCAGUGCCUUCCAUCGGUUGGUUCCAUCAUAGUCACUGCUCUUUCCUUUCUAUAUUCCAACUACUUUAAUGAUAUGUUUGUUUACAGGAAUUCGGUUAGAUUAAUUUCUUCCUGAUUUGGUCUCGCAAAUUCGAAGAGGACAUGCUCAUCUCUGUAGUUGCAAAAUUGAUCAUGUCAGCCAUUUCAUCUCCUUGCAGAAUUCAGACAAUAAGGAGGACCUUGAGAAGAUGAUGAGUGUCCUAAAGAUCCACCACCAUCACAAACUGAGGAAUGUUUUUCCAGUUCAAGGGGCCUAUGGUAGGUAUGUACCCUGGGUAUUAUUCUUACACAUCAAAGUUGCAGCCUGUUGAAGAGGCUGUAGUUGAAAAUCAUUGUCACAAGUGACUUUGUUCUCAGUGAGAUCAAUUCUUCUUUAGAGAAAAGGGCAGGAGCUCUGCCGUGAUGCAUUAUAGAAGAAAGAUAGCAAAGACUAAAUGUGGUUACAAGGCACACUACAUGCUGAGGUUUGAUAAACUCAAUGGACAAAGGCCAAAACCAAACCCACAGCAGCCCCUAAGGCCAGCAACUAAGAAACUAAGAAACUGGGUAUCUCUCUUUUUUGCUUGAUCUCCUAGAUCUUGAAGUGGACAUCUCGCAAAAUCCGGUGUUCAUUUUGGAGGGCUCAUUUAUUUCCUCUCCUUUCAAAUAUUCCAACAUGUGUACACCACCAGGGCUGUUGAACUUCCUCUCCCAUCUCUUUUUUGCUUUCAUGCCACCAGCUCGCAAAACUGUCAAAAAGUUUUGGCUGGGCUCUCUCCAUGAUUUUGCAAUUUACCACCUUAGAACAAUGUCCAAACUUCCUUGGCAUAAGGACAAAGAAUAAGAAAAUGCACGUUAGCCUUCCAUGUUGGUUGCAAAGCUUAGAGAUCACAUGGUUUGACCAUCCUUGUUUAGCCAAGAUUAUCGGCUUUUAAGAUUUUGUUUUGAUUUGAAUUCCAAGCAAAUAAUUUACAUUUGUUUUCAGACGUCUUCCAAAUAGAUGUUGUGUUGAGAUUUCUGAGGUAACCUUUGAAUUCCACAAGGAAGACUGACUUUUGUGCAAUAUUGCCACACCGUACUCCUUGUUGACAGGCUGAAGGCAAAUGGUUUUGUAUUUUAUUCCAAAGCCACACUACAUACUCCUUGUUCACACAAAUUCUGGGUCGUGCGGAUUUUCCUCACAUAAUAUAUCCAAUUAUUGUUUGCAAGUUCUUUCCGCAUGGGCCUAUUACUCUAUUUUAUCUGGUAACCGGUAAGAACAAUAACUUUGUUCUGGGUGGAUAAAUGGAUGAUGGGGUUCAUGAUAAAAGCAUUGACCUGUCGUCUCCUUUUGCAGAAUUGGUUUAUUUUGCAGAAAAGGGGACAAACAAAGAAAUACUUUCAUGGGGCCCUGGCUACUAGAACAAAUUGUAAAUGAAAGCUUUGAUGCUAAACGAGGAUGAUGGAGGGAGAAGCUACUUUGGUAGGAGAUAGACUGAACAUGUAGAACCCUUCUCUGGUGAUAAUAAUAGACUUUAAUUUCUUGUUGACUUGUCUUGGUCUCUUGGCCUACUUCUUUGUAACCUUCUAGAUUCUAGAAGCCUGGGUCACUUUGCAAACUCCCAUUUUGACCAUUUGCUUCCAAGCAGAGCUCUGGUGAGCAUGGAGAUUCUGAUUUCUGCUGUGGCAACUGAUCUUAUCAGCCGGUUCAUCUCUUCGGUAACACAAAAUUACAGAAACCAUAUACAUAAGGAGGAUGAUCGUAGGAGGCUGGAACGCAUCUUGCUGAGGAUGCACUCUGUUGUUGAGGAAGCAGGGGGACGCCAUAUCACAAAUCAAGGAAUGAUCCUGCAGCUAAAGGGACUUGUUGAGGGAUUCUACCUCGGAUACUACAUGCUCGACAAAAUCAAGUUCCAACCCCCCGAAUAUGAGGUGAGUCAUGAGAUUCAGUCAUUUGCCUUGUCUGCCUGUAACUCUGCCAAGCGCUUUCGUUUUGCUGAUGCCAUAAGCAAACGCACACCAGUAGCCUUUGGUAGCAGGAGCAGAACAAACCUGAAAGAUGUUGUUGAUGGUUUAGAAACUAAGAUUGCAGAUAUGAGGGAAUUUGUCAUUCUCCUUGGUAGCCACCCUCGUCUACCACGCCAGCCUUACA